This 465-nucleotide ribosomal RNA is filed under the name Vreelandella stevensii. RNAcentral describes it as "partial 16S ribosomal RNA". It matches the Rfam family "Bacterial small subunit ribosomal RNA", at positions 338 to 795 of the family's 1533-position model. Lineage: Bacteria; Pseudomonadati; Pseudomonadota; Gammaproteobacteria; Oceanospirillales; Halomonadaceae. The record is from RNAcentral.
CCUACGGGAGGCAGCAGUGGGGAAUAUUGGACAAUGGGGGGAACCCUGAUCCAGCCAUGCCGCGUGUGUGAAGAAGGCCCUCGGGUUGUAAAGCACUUUCAGUGAGGAAGAACGCCUGGUGGUUAAUACCCAUCAGGAAAGACAUCACUCACAGAAGAAGCACCGGCUAACUCCGUGCCAGCAGCCGCGGUAAUACGGAGGGUGCGAGCGUUAAUCGGAAUUACUGGGCGUAAAGCGCGCGUAGGUGGCUUGAUAAGCCGGUUGUGAAAGCCCCGGGCUCAACCUGGGAACGGCAUCCGGAACUGUCAAGCUAGAGUGCAGGAGAGGAAGGUAGAAUUCCCGGUGUAGCGGUGAAAUGCGUAGAGAUCGGGAGGAAUACCAGUGGCGAAGGCGGCCUUAUGGACUGACACUGACACUGAGGUGCGAAAGCGUGGGUAGCAAACAGGAUUAGAUACCCUAGUAGUC